UCUCCGUUGGUGAACCAGCGGAGGGAUCAUUACCAGAGUGCCUUUUGGCUCUCCAACCCACUGUGAACAUACCUACGUUUCCCUCGGCGGGCUCAGCGCGCGGCGGUACUCCCGCCACGCGUCCGCCGGGGGCCCCCAAACUCGAAUUUACUACGUGUAUCUCUGAGGGGCGAAAGCCCGUAAAACAAAAUGAAUCAAAACUUUCAACAACGGAUCUCUUGGCUCUG
RNAcentral lists this unclassified non-coding RNA (227 nucleotides) under root metagenome. Its description in RNAcentral is "partial contains small subunit ribosomal RNA, internal transcribed spacer 1, and 5.8S ribosomal RNA". The record is from RNAcentral.